CAGGACGAAUGGCAGAACAGUAUCCAAAAUCUUUUAGGUCUGUUAUUGUUGUGUUGCUCCAUUUUCCAGUCAUGUAUAUGAGAACAAUAAUAUUUAUAAGCAUAUACAGAAUCCAGCUCAGGUGUAUGAAGGAUCCAAUGUACCUGGGAGCUUUCACUUUAAGUCCUGCCCAUCUAGAGUCCUUGGGGCUGAUGGUGAUGACCUAGAAGACACUCAGGAGACACAUGGUUACACACCCCUGCCCACCCUUAAAACAUAGAAAAGCAGUUUGCAUUUAAUAUUACCAAGGGAAAAUUUGAAAAUGAAAUCUGCCAUUGUGUGGGGAACUCCUUUACACAGGAGAGUUAACAAGUUGGCCACAAUCAAGUGCUGAAGAAUCAAGUCUGUGUGUCUUACCCUGCACCCAGUGAAGUAAAGGACCAGGUAAUGGAGGAGAAGAGAGGAAUUGCCCAGAGCUCCAACCACAGUCUGUGCCAGGAAGAUGAUGCCUACAGCCACAUCACUGCCUGCCAUCCUGCCAGUUCCCUGCUGUCCCAUCUAGAGGGUCCUGCAGAAAGAGGAAGCCUGGGCUGCACAUAUCCUUUCAACCAAAACCCAUAAUUGCCCACUCUCCUGAGGUUCCACUGUGAAAAUCUACUUAAAGUUUUUCAUUUACUAGGCUAUUUCUAAGUGAUUUCUAUACAUUUUUAAAACAUGAAUGAUGCACACUUUGCUGCUAUGUAGGGAACACAUGUGGUGAGACUUCAUGGAUCUUCAGAACCUAGGGUAGGUGCUGAGAUGACUUUCUAUAAUGACCAGGAACUUGAACCUUCAGCGGUUAAGUGUCUAUCCAAAUUCAAAUCCUGAUUAGGGACAUGGAAAGGUCUUGCAAUUGGCUGAGUGGAAACAGAGAUUUCAGUGAACCACCAUCCUAAAGGCUUUUCAUCUGUGUUCUUCAAACAAUCUAGUUCUAUAUUUACUUUUGUUUUUCAACAUUCCUAUUAUAUGCUAAAUUCAUAGUAUUUUAUAAUUUCUUAUUGUAAUAUGUUUUGAUGCUUAUAAUGACUAUAGAAUACUAUAGGCUGAUAUCUAUUAUUAUUAGGAAAUACUUAGAUAUUUUAAUAUCUGCAGAUGCACUGAGGGAACUAAAGCACUGCAGACAGCUGCCACGUGGUGAUUUACGUGCAAUAGGCAGAACUGACUCCAUAUCAGGGCAGCUAUCCCGUGACUCACAAGGCUGUGUGUUAGGAAUAAAGAGCAACAGCACCUAUCACAGGAAUUUGUGACAACCUCAUGCCAUGCCAAGCUUUAGGACACAAGGCACCAACAUCCGAUAAGAGAGUGUAGAGUAGAAACAAAGUGUUACUGAUUUCAGAUGAUACAUGCAUGGAUUAGUUAACACCUGAGUUAAGCAAAACUGUUAUCACAGAGCAAGAUUGGUGAGUGAUAUUACACUAUGCAAUGUGGCCUAGGUACAGACUGAAGCCUUGUGCUUUUAAAAAACUGC
This 1486-nucleotide long non-coding RNA is filed under the name Marmota monax (woodchuck). The record is from RNAcentral. Lineage: Eukaryota; Metazoa; Chordata; Mammalia; Rodentia; Sciuridae.